GAGUAGCUCAUUUUGAUGCCUCUCGCUACCCCUGGCCUUAGUUUUGAAGGAAUCAUGCGACACACUCGCACUCCACUACCCCAUCCCAUGGAAAAACGCUCCCACCAUUGAGGUGUUGACCAAAAUUUCGCUGUGUGCAUGAGACACACACUCGCACUCCUCCAGCCCUCCACAGCUGAACGCUCCCACCGUUGCGAAUUUGCGAGAAUUUUUGCUCUGAGCGUGAGACCCUGAAGCGCCAGAGAUGACACUAUGUGUAAAGACGAUCAUAAUUCGGUAUGGUCAAAAUGCGUCGUUUGUCGUUUCAUUUAUCUGGUAAUGAUGUUUUCACUUCAUCAAAAUUUUAAACAUUAACAACUAGGCUGAUAACAAUAAUUGAAAUGUGAAUCAGAAUAAAUUAAAUUCAUUUGAAGUAAAAUGAAUUCCAUUAUACUCUAUUUUGAUCAAAUGAUCAACACUUGUACAUAGUGCCAUUUACUUUGUGUUCUUCACUCUCGCGCUGUGUUGUGAUCGUUCGAAACUCAUUGCCAGAACGAAUGCAAAUUUCAUUUGGGAAGGAUCGGUGCCGGAAGAUGCAGUGAAAAUUAUAAAAUGUUUAUAGAAAAGUAAUUAAGUAAAUCGUGAAAGAUGUAAACGCAGGCGCAACUGCAGUUUGUUUUGUUACAUGAUCUACGGGUAAGUGCAUGCAUAAGAAGAAGAAUAUUUCAAAUGAUGUUUGUUUUUUAACAAUCGUAUUGCUUUUAAUGUUUGAUUAUUCUUCUAUUAUUUGCCAUCACACCUAGCUAUCUCAUUACCAAAGCAUCUGAUAGCCGAUCAAAGAAGGUGAAUCGGGCUUACAGAGUCGCCGUUUAAAUUCAAAUAUCUUCGUGAUCGAAAAACGCAUCAAACAACAAGUGUUUUUCUUCCAACAGCACGCGCCAUCGGUGGAGCAAGCAGCCACCGUUUUGAUCGCCAGUACGCGCCAUCAAGAAUUGAAAUAUUCCCGAAUAGCUCUGUGAAUAAAAAACUGCACAUUUACUGUCCGAA
Anopheles gambiae (African malaria mosquito) is the source of this 1026-nucleotide long non-coding RNA. RefSeq lists it as uncharacterized. The transcript is spliced from 2 exons. The record is from RefSeq and is a predicted model, not a curated record. NCBI's taxonomy places the organism in Eukaryota, Metazoa, Arthropoda, Insecta, Diptera, Culicidae.